This is a long non-coding RNA of Daphnia pulex (common water flea), 472 nucleotides long. RefSeq lists it as uncharacterized. The record is from RefSeq and is a predicted model, not a curated record. Lineage: Eukaryota; Metazoa; Arthropoda; Branchiopoda; Diplostraca; Daphniidae. The transcript is spliced from 3 exons.
AAGCAAAAAAAAUGAAAAGUUACGUGGCUGCACGAAAAAAAGCAGUACAAAUCAAAUUACAAAAAUUUGAUCGUCGUGUAAACUUUGGUGUCGUGGCUCUGUAAAAGAAUCGCCUAAAUCACACUCCAUGCUUUUGGGCGGGUAAAUAAAAUAAGUUUACAAAAAGAAUGAUGAUGGGAUGGGAGCUUAAGUAAAAGUGUUAAGCCUGUUCCAAAUUUUUGAAUAGUUAGUUUCUGACUAGCUUUUACUACAUUUAACUAGCAUUCAUGAUAUUUGAGUCUUUGAACCAGCCAACGUAACAACAAGAUAUUCCAGUUUUGCUUCUGCUGGACCUGUCAUCACAGCAACAAUGUCAUCAUCAUCACUUGGAUAAACAGCAUCCCUGUUGAUUGGAGAUUCUACCCAUGGCCGAGCUACGUAUCUCUUCCUUCCUUCCCCUUUCUUAAAAUGUCCUCGUGUACACUUCAUGUGA